Molecule: ribosomal RNA, 258 nt
Filed under: uncultured Glomeraceae
Lineage: Eukaryota; Fungi; Glomeromycota; Glomeromycetes; Glomerales; Glomeraceae
Description: partial small subunit ribosomal RNA
Rfam family: Eukaryotic small subunit ribosomal RNA
Source: RNAcentral
AAGCUCGUAGUUGAAUUUCGGGAUCAAUAUAUUGGUCGUGCCUCCGGUAUGCACUGGUAUUAUUGAUUUCUACCUUCUGACGAACUGUGAUGUCAUUAAUUUGGUGUCAUGGGGAAUCAGGACUGUUACUUUGAAAAAAUUAGAGUGUUUAAAGCAGGCACACGCUUGAAUACAUUAGCAUGGAAUAAUGAAAUAGGACGUUUGAUCCUAUUUCGUUGGUUUCUAGGAUCGACGUAAUGAUUAAUAGGGAUAGUUGGG